This 484-nucleotide long non-coding RNA is filed under the name Cricetulus griseus (Chinese hamster). Its description in RNAcentral is "lncRNA (ENSCGRG00015029084.1)". The record is from RNAcentral. Lineage: Eukaryota; Metazoa; Chordata; Mammalia; Rodentia; Cricetidae.
GCUCUUGGUAACCAGCAUCAGCAUAGAAGUUUGUAUUCCAGAGGUUCAGGCUGAGACAUUCCUGAUUAGGCUGGUCAUAAUGGGAGUAGAAGAGGUCUUUCCCCUGGAAGUGAGAUGGAGAUGGAGACAGGCUCUGGAGAAUAGCUUCGCUGAACUGGUACGUCAGCUUCCUGCAGAUUUUCGUGAUCUCCCCAGUCCUGGCAAAGUUCCUCAGGGCUCUGGCCAUCUUCUAAGAUUGAAAAAGGUAUUCAAGCAGCCGAAGCUUCCUCCUGCCUUUUCCUCCUUUUGGCUGGAAGAGGGAGACUUGUCCCAGCUGGUUUGCAUUUAUGCUCUGCAGAGGUUCCUGGAGACUUUCUUCCAAAUACAAGUCCGCAGAACCAUUUCUUCUCCAGGUAUAGGCCGGAUCUUGGUGAAGUCAGUUUUCCCAGAUUUUGUGGGGCUGCUGAUCUGUUAUUUGGACUCCUGCCUUGGCAAGGAGUUUAGA